AAUGUAAAAGUCUAGCUUGUUGGGCUUAUACCAAAACAACUUGUAUUAGCGUUAAUGGGCUUUCCAUUUGACCUGAAUCACAAAGCCAGAAAAAAAAAAUCCCGGAACGCAUCUUCUUCUUCUUCUCUUUCAAAGAUCAAGAGAUCGCUUCAUACAGUUCCAUCUUCCAAGAUUUUCCUCGGCAGUUAUACAGUUUGUUUAGGGAAAACAUGGCCGGAGAAGGUGAAGAGGAUGUACCUAGAGAUGCUAAGAUUGUGAAAUCUCUGCUUAAGUCGAUGGGUGUGGAGGACUACGAGUGAUGGAACCCGGGUCAUGACCGUACCGCGGUGAGAACCGGUACAUUGGUACCAUCGUCUAGCAGCUCGCGUAGGAGCAUAAAAGUCGGUCCAGAACAUCAACGCGGCAUCAACCAGUCCCCAAGGAUCAUCUAGGAGGAGCAAGACAACGUCAUCUAAUGAGCAAUACAAGGCCAAGCUCCAACCUUACACCAAUGGCUCAUGGCUAGCAUCACCAAUGAAGAGCCUUGGGUGCGACCAGCUUUGGGAAGCUUGAUUUGUGUGUCUUCACCAUCACGCUAGCGUGAAGACACCCCUAAGUCAUUAGAAGGAGCUGUACUCUUUUUCCUACUUCGGGUUUGUCCCAAUGGGUUUACCGAAGGGGUUUUAACGAGGCAGCGAGCUCUAGUGCAUCUCCACUUCGUUCCCGCUUGGCUCAUGACUUGGAAACUUUCAUUAACAAGAUUAUGGGCCAAGGAAGUGAAGAUCCUAUCAGCCACGUCCCACCAAUGACGUGGCAACCCUAUCUCCUUCCUUCCUUUCCUUUAUUUUCUUUGAACUCUCUUAUGACCGUUGGAUGGUCUUUGUUCCCUUUUUGCUUUUGCUUUUACUUUAUGGCCAAGUGUAUGGUUCAGAUCAUGGCCGCGCGUCUAGGGUUUUAGUGUCCCCCUUAUGUAAGCUUGCCUAUAUAAAGGCCUAAACCCUCAUUGUAAAAACAAGGAAAGACUGGAAUAUAGAAAUUAUUGGCCCAAAGAUUGGAUCUUUGUUCAUUCCUCUCUCCCGCUCAAGUCCGGGACUUGGCUCUAGAGAAACCCUAGAAGGUUCAAGAACCGGGUUCAUGACCUUCUAGUCCGACCGUAUCACGGGCCGAGCCAUCUCCCGUGUGUCGUCGACUCAAUCCACCGUCCAUUCAUCCCCAUCUAUCCGAGAGACAAACGAGUCGAGCAUCUCCUCGCGAAUCUCUCUCCGUCCGUUCUUGUCGUUCCUUGGUCCCGUUUCCUUCCGUACAUCGCUCCAUCCGCGGCGUCCAUCCGUACGCAGCGUCUGUUCCCAUCCGCGCUCCAUCCGCUCACUCGUCCAUCCGACGCGUCCGUACGUCCGUUUAUCCGCCGCGUCCGACCAUCCGUCCGUACGUCCGUACGCAGCGUCCGUUUCCAUCCGUUUCCUAACUAGAGCCGAACGAGUCGAGUAUCUCCUUGUGACGCUCUAGUCCAUCCGCGUUCCAUCCGCUCACUCGUCCAUCCGACGCGUCCGUACGUCCAUUUAUCCGCCGCAUCCGACCAUCCGUCCGUACGUCCGCUGUUCCACGUCCAUUCGCGUCCAUUCUCGUCCCUAACCGAACCGCUUCUCCGAUCCGCUCCGCUAUAUCCUCUGUCCGUACGUCCGUGAACCACGUGCGUAGUCCGGGGUCACAUCAACGAGCCUCGUGUGAUACACCAGUUUCUGGAGCUAUGGUACCGGUAUGUGGUGGAAGUGUUGACAGAUGCUCAGGUAUACUCAGAGCAUGCUAGCAAAUCCAACAUUGACUAUGAUGAUGUGAAGCUCGUUAUUCAGUCCAAAGUUAAUUUCAGCUUCUCACAGCCACCUCCAAGAGAGGUUCUGCUAGAGCUUGCUGCAAGUAGGAACAAGAUCCCUUUGCCAAAAUCGAUAGCAGGACCGGGUGUUCCUCUCCCACCUGAACAGGACACAUUGCUGAGCCCAAACUACCAGCUUGUGAUACCAAGGAAGUCAGCUUCCACAGAACCUGAAGAAACUGAGGAUGAUGAAGAAAUGACAGAUCCUGCACAGUCCUCGCAAGAACAGCAGCAACAACAAACAUCAGAUCUCCCAGGUCAAACUCCCCAACGAGUCUCUUUCCCUCUCUCUAGAAGACCCAAUAAGUAGAUACACAAAAAGUUUAUUAUGUUAUGUAUCAAAAUGUAGUAGCAGAAUUAUUAUUAAUGACCAUAUGUGGUAUCAAAGGAGUAGAAUGUAAGAGAAUCAUAUAUUAA
Molecule: non-coding RNA, 2266 nt
Organism: Camelina sativa (false flax)
Lineage: Eukaryota; Viridiplantae; Streptophyta; Magnoliopsida; Brassicales; Brassicaceae
Source: RefSeq, a predicted model, not a curated record